ACAGCAGCUCUGUCCUUCUCCAACUGAGCACAGACAAAAUAACAAUUUGGGCUAAGAGGUACAUUUUUAUUCCCAGGUAAAAAAACAGAAUAAGAAUCAUUGCAAUAAGUUAUCAACCGCCCUCCUCUAGCUGGGAUUCGUCUGCGAGUGACUGUGGGCAAUGACAGAACUCAUGACAGCACCCCUGCCGCAGCACACAGGGCAUCAGAGAGCUUUGCCACGCUUUGAGGGCCCUCGGAGCGGCCACUUCACCUGCUAGAACUGGCAUGGAGGGAAGUCGUGGUUGAAGACCCAUCCAGUAGUCAUACUCCUCCCUCACCAUGAAAAUUCUACACUGAGAGCAAAGCAAUGACAAGAGAUUAUUAUACAGUGCAGGUAAAUGAGCAGGCAGUGCCCAAAGGUGGGUCUUCAGGUAAAAGGGAGGAUAUGGAAAAUGAAGACAGGCUUCAUCAGAGACCAAUAAACAGAAUACAUGUGAACUCGGAUAUCGGGCUUGGGACAUACAGGUGGCACCGAGACCAAAGAGCACCUAAUGAUGGCCGUCACAAUGGUGCCCAGAACAUCAGGUUCCCUCAUCCUAAGUUGCAUGUCUCGUUUUUAAUGUCACAUUCCAACACAGGGAUUAGCUGGUCUUGGUGCUAAUGUGUCAGCUGUGGGGACCUGGAACUUGGCAGGAGCAAAUAGGUUAUCAGUGAACCCAUAACGAUCCUGAACUUCUGCCCCAGGGAGUCCCAAGAUGUAGGAGAACCAGUCCUACCACCUAAACCCCCACUCUUGAGGAAGGGGAAGGAUUCUGCCAUUGGCCCUGUGGGGGAUGCAGGGUUUAUGGUGAGGGGUUCCCCCUUUUCCAUCCUUCCUCUAAAGCCAAGAAUGGGAGAGGGUUUCUGAGAAAAUCUUUAGUGAAGAUGGUGGGGUGUGGGGAUGCCCACGGGAAGGGAGCAUUCGCAUCCCAUUCCCUCACUGGAUUUCUGCCCAGGCACUGCGCUUGCUUGUCUGCUCCUGAGGGAGAAGAGAAUUGGAAAGAGCCUGCAGGAUGGGGAGAGGUGUGAGAGGGGCGGAGCUGCACUCCCAUCCACCUUGUGUCGUGGUGCAUACGCAGUGUUUCUUUGUGGAGGGCCACCAAGGAAGGCAACUGGGCUUGCGCCACCUGGACCCCCUAAACAGCUGUCCUUAACAUGAGGGGUCGCCAGCAGAACUGGGCUGGGAGUUGCACCUCCCAUGUUGGGGGGACUGAGCGAUGGGGAGGGCCCUCCAAGAAGCUCACAUCGGUUUCGAGACCGUGUCAGCUUUUGGAAACCAGACAGCGAUGAGGGCCAGUCAACGUUGGCAAGAGAUGCGUCCCCAGUCAACUGUGUGAGGUCUGGAGCAGCAGUUGGUUAAACAGAGACGCCCCUUCCCGAGGAGGUAGACUUGGAGGAGGAAGUAGAGGAAGCAUUCUACAGCCCGCCCCCAUUUUGAUCAGCCCACACCCUAGUUCAAUCUUGUGUUUGGGGUUCAGGAUUUGAAAGUUUGUGAAAGGAAAGGAUAAAUGACCAGAGGCGUUCCUAUUCAAAGGUGGGAAUAAGGUUGACCAGGGAUGAGAAGCUGGAAAAGGGAACGAGUGUCACACCCAGGGUGGCACCCUAUAUACAGACUCCAACGUGGACUGUGGGUUGAAUCAGGACACUCCUCUGGUUCGCUGGGGACUUUCCCGAUUUUAAAGCUUAAAGUCCAUUGCCCUGGGAACCUCCUCAGUCUUGAACACUUCUGGGAAACCGAUUAUUCGUUCUUCUCGCAAUCCCAGAGUGACCUCCGUCAGCGAUAGCUUUACCACUCCAAGUCUGACAUCUCAACGGCUCAAAAUGGGCCAGAGACAUCAGCUUAUAUAACAUUAACUCGUGGGCCUGUGGACUCUAGGCUGCUUAGGAGAUAAGAGGAAGUGCCUUUUGGCUAUUUUUCUAAAGUCUAAAAAUACAAUAACAGCUGCAGGGAAUCAGCAUUUAAUACCAGAUAUCACAUUCGUGUCAAAUGUCCAGGCCAGAAAUGGUGUCCAAAACAUUAAAUUCUCAACAAAAAGAUUUUGGUGAUCAAAUACAAAGCCAGUGGACUCACCUGCAAUUACUGGGCAGUUUGUUGAGCUAGUCCUCAUGGAACAGGGAAGGCAUCUCAUUUGUUAUUCUUGAAUUCUUAAAUCAUAUUUUUGAGAAUCAAAUGAGAUGUUGCACAACACCAGAUGUUCUACAAAGCAGUAAGAAAACCAACAGCUUCUGACAUUUUUUUUCCCCCAAUUCUUUCUCCCUUAGCUCAAAACAAAUAUGUUAGUAUCACUUCCAGCUUAUUGAGUCUAUGAGGCAGUGGGAGAAACAGAACAAAAUCAUGAGAAAAACAUGGCACCAACAAUUGCCAUCUGAUGAGGGGCACAGGAAGGGAGAGAACAAAUAAUGAAGGCUAACCAUGCAGGAAGUUUUAUAAUUUACAAAACUUGUUUCUGUUUCUCUCACACAAAGAAGUAUAGGAUGAAAAAUGAAGUAGAAAGGGCAAGGAAAAGGUAAGCGAGAAAGAGACUUAAAACUUACAUACUGCCUCAUCUAUCUGGAAUUGAAAUAUAUGGCCGUUGGAAUAAUCACAAUAUAAACAAGAAUGUGUAAGACUCAAGCAAAAGUCCUUUUCCCAUAUUCCAUUGUUGUUAUAAACAAUAGUAAGUGGCUAAUUUUGUAUUAUUAUUUCCACACACAUUGUAAACAGAAGGCUUUCAUUUGUUAACAGAAGUCUAAAAAUAUAAUAUAACAGAAGGCUUUGAGGAUGGGAUAUUUCCCUCUUUGUUUUGUCAUUCUGCAACUACUGGACAACUAUAUCCACAUGACAAAUCUUGAAGGAAGACCGAAAUUAUAGCCAUACUCCUUGCCGUUGUCUGUCUUCUCAUAAAUCAGAGUUGACGACAAAGAGAUUGAUGAUGUACGUGUUGGUAUUUCUUCUGCACACUGAUUCUCAGGCUUGGAGUACAUUUUGCAGUGUGACCUCAGACUGUUCCUUCUGUUUCAUCCUUCUGCUGCUUCUCUCAGAUUUUACUAAAUCCAGUCCCACUGAAACCAAAACCAAAACCAUAAUAAACCAAAGUUCCUGAGGGCUGCUAUACUGUGGAUGGAAUCCCAUUGCUAUUAAUAGUUAGAUCGUGCUUGCUGGGAAAACUGUGUCUUGACCUCUUUCUCACCAGUCACCAAAACCAUAACCAUCAAGUAACAUCCUGUGGUCGCCCGGACCAUGACCUUGUGAUGGGUCCUGCCCCAGGUCAUCUCAGCCACACUCUGCUUUUCUACAACUCCUUCUGAGCCUUCUUUAGUUUGUUGCUACAGUAACUGAGGAAUGCUAGAGUCCGAGAUGGACUUCAAAGUUAACCUUCAAAUUCCACACCAAUUGGGGAAACAUUUAAUUCUAGGGUUGUUUCUGGAAGGAAAGCUUCCUUUUAGUAAUCUUGAUUUCUCCAGGGUUUCUGACAGUGACAAGUAGAGUAAAAAGAAUGUGGAAAUGGUAUUCUUAAAUUUGAGAAUAAAUGAUUGGAUUACGCAUUUAUUUUUCAUGUAAAAUUUAAGAAAAGAGAAGGCACAUGAGUAACUUCCACACUGCCUUUUCCCACAUCAUAUAAAAUAUUGAGUGCCUUUUUUUUCAAUAAAAUUAAAUUUUAUUCUCAUUGAGUAUAAAAUUUAUGCACAUGAAUUAUUGAUUUCUUUUUAAAAAGACAAGACAUAUUCAUGCCCCAGAGCUUUUUUUCUUCCUUUAGAUGGAAAUCUCUUCUCUUGAGUAUUUCUUGAGCACAAUGUGUAUUAUUUUGGACUUUGGCUGCAGAAGAGCACAGAGCAUUCCUUUUGUGAAUAAGUAUCAGCUCAUAUAACAGUUUCCUGUUCUUUGCUUCCAAGUUGCUCAGAUUGGCCCGAGGGUUGGAGUCUGGGCCACCACCCGGUGAGUUAUGCGAUUCAUAGAUGACAUUUUAAUGUGGAACAUUUGCCACUCUUUGCUCAGAAAUGAAGACCCCAGUGAAGUGCUUGGAAAAGUCUUAGAAAUAAUUGUUCCUUAAAAUAUUUUUUAAAGAAUUCAAGUGAAAAAUGCAAAAAAAAAAAAAAAAAAAAA
Non-coding RNA from Microcebus murinus (gray mouse lemur), 4104 nucleotides. The record is from RefSeq and is a predicted model, not a curated record. NCBI's taxonomy places the organism in Eukaryota, Metazoa, Chordata, Mammalia, Primates, Cheirogaleidae.